This 87-nucleotide transfer RNA is filed under the name bacterium. RNAcentral's name for it is "tRNA-Leu". It matches the Rfam family "tRNA". Rfam says of the family: Transfer RNA (tRNA) molecules are approximately 80 nucleotides in length. Their secondary structure includes four short double-helical elements and three loops (D, anti-codon, and T loops). Further hydrogen bonds mediate the characteristic L-shaped molecular structure. tRNAs have two regions of fundamental functional importance: the anti-codon, which is responsible for specific mRNA codon recognition, and the 3' end, to which the tRNAs corresponding amino acid is attached (by aminoacyl-tRNA synthetases). tRNAs cope with the degeneracy of the genetic code in two manners: having more than one tRNA (with a specific anti-codon) for a particular amino acid; and 'wobble' base-pairing, i.e. permitting non-standard base-pairing at the 3rd anti-codon position. The record is from RNAcentral.
GCUGGGAUGGCGGAAUUGGUAUACGCGACGGACUUAAAAUCCGUUGGUUGCAACACCUUGUGGGUUCGAGUCCCACUCCCAGCACCA